AUGGCUCAGGACGAACGCUGGCGGCGUGCUUAACACAUGCAAGUCGAGCGGAGAAUAUAGCAAUAUAUUCUUAGCGGCGGACGGGUGAGUAACGCGUGGGCAAUCUGCCUCAUACAGGGGGAUAACACUGGGAAACUAGUGCUAAUACCGCAUAAAAUAGUGAAGUGGCAUCACUUUACUAUCAAAGGAGCAAUCCGGUGUGAGAUGAGCCCGCGUCCGAUUAGCUAGUUGGAGGGGUAACGGCCCACCAAGGCGACGAUCGGUAGCCGAACUGAGAGGCUGAUCGGCCACAUUGGGACUGAGACACGGCCCAGACUCCUACGGGAGGCAGCAGUGGGGAAUAUUGCGCAAUGGGGGAAACCCUGACGCAGCAACGCCGCGUGAAGGAUGAAGGUUUUCGGAUUGUAAACUUCUUUGAUUGGGGACGAUAAUGACGGUACCCAAAAAACAAGCCACGGCUAACUACGUGCCAGCCGCCGC
This 480-nucleotide ribosomal RNA is filed under the name uncultured bacterium. Its description in RNAcentral is "bacterial SSU rRNA". It matches the Rfam family "Bacterial small subunit ribosomal RNA", at positions 19 to 518 of the family's 1533-position model. The record is from RNAcentral.